GACAUCCCGGGGAUUUUCUGGAAACAGAGAAGUGCUUUAGCAAUAAAGAACCCGGUGACAGGUGCUGCAUGGCUGUCGUCAGCUCGUGUCGUGAGAUGUUGGGUUAAGUCCCGCAACGAGCGCAACCCUCGCCUUUAGUUGCCAGCAUUCAGUUGGGCACGUCUAGAGGGACUGCCGGUGUCAAACCGGAGGAAGUGGGAUGACGUCAAGUCCUUAUGGCCUUUAUGUCCUAGGGCUACACACGUACUACAAUGGCCGGUACAAAGGGCAGCCACUCAGCGAUGAGGCGCUAAUCCCAUAAAGCCGGUCUCAGUCCGGAUCGCAGUCUGCAACUCGACUGCGUGAAGUUGGAAUCGCUAGUAAUCGUAGAUCAGCAUGCUACGGUGAAUACGUUCCCGGGCCUU
Molecule: ribosomal RNA, 404 nt
Filed under: uncultured Desulfovibrio sp.
Lineage: Bacteria; Pseudomonadati; Thermodesulfobacteriota; Desulfovibrionia; Desulfovibrionales; Desulfovibrionaceae
Description: bacterial SSU rRNA
Rfam family: Bacterial small subunit ribosomal RNA
Source: RNAcentral